GACUGGUGCCAGCCGCCGCGGUAACACCAGCGCUACGAGUGGCAAUCACGUUUAUUGGGCCUAAAGCGUCCGUAGCUGGUUUUAUAAAUUUCUUGUGAAACUGCAGGCUUAACUUGGCAAUGUGCAGGAAACACUGUAAGAAUUGAGACAGGGAACGGUCAGAGGUAUUCCUGAGGGAGCGGUAAAAUGCUAUAAUCUCAGGAGGACCACCGGUGGCGAAGGCGUCUGACUAGAACUGAUCUGACUGUGGGGGGACGAAAGCUAGGGGAGCCAACCGGAUUACAUACCCUAGUAGUCCUGGGCU
RNAcentral lists this ribosomal RNA (304 nucleotides) under uncultured euryarchaeote. Its description in RNAcentral is "bacterial SSU rRNA". It matches the Rfam family "Archaeal small subunit ribosomal RNA", at positions 450 to 752 of the family's 1478-position model. The record is from RNAcentral. Lineage: Archaea; Methanobacteriati; Methanobacteriota.